RNAcentral lists this ribosomal RNA (467 nucleotides) under uncultured bacterium. Its description in RNAcentral is "partial 16S ribosomal RNA". It matches the Rfam family "Bacterial small subunit ribosomal RNA", at positions 28 to 507 of the family's 1533-position model. The record is from RNAcentral.
GACGAACGCUGGCGGCGUGCUUAACACAUGCAAGUCGAACGGAAAGGCCUCUUUCGGGGGGUACUCGAGUGGCGAACGGGUGAGUAACACGUGAGUAACCUGCCCUUGACUUUGGGAUAACUUCAGGAAACUGGGGCUAAUACCGGAUAGGAGCUCCUGCUGCAUGGUGGGGGUUGGAAAGUUUCGGCGGUUGGGGAUGGACUCGCGGCUUAUCAGCUUGUUGGUGGGGUAGUGGCUUACCAAGGCUUUGACGGGUAGCCGGCCUGAGGGGGUGACCGGCCACAUUGGGACUUAGAUACGGCCCAGACUCCUACGGGAGGCAGCAGUGGGGAAUAUUGCACAAUGGGUGGAAGCCUGAUGCAGCAACGCCGGGGGCGGGAUGACGGCCUUCGGGUUGUAAACCGCUUUCGCUCAUGACGAAGCUUUGUGUGACGGUAGUGGGUAAAGAAGCACCGGCUAACUACGUG